GUAGGUGGCAAGCGUUGUCCGGAAUUAUUGGGCGUAAAGCGCGCGCAGGCGGUUCUUUAAGUCUGAUGUGAAAGCCCACGGCUCAACCGUGGAGGGUCAUUGGAAACUGGAGAACUUGAGUACAGAAGAGGAAAGCGGAAUUCCACGUGUAGCGGUGAAAUGCGUAGAGAUGUGGAGGAACACCAGUGGCGAAGGCGGCUUUCUGGUCUGUAACUGACGCUGAGGCGCGAAAGCGUGGGGAGCAAACAGGAUUAGAUACCCUGGUAGUCCACGCCGUAAACGAUGAGUGCUAAGUGUUACGGGGUUUCCGCCCCCCUUAGUGCUGCAGCUAACGCAUUAAGCACUCCGCCUGGGAGUACGACCGCAAGGUUG
Molecule: ribosomal RNA, 372 nt
Filed under: uncultured organism
Description: partial 16S ribosomal RNA
Rfam family: Bacterial small subunit ribosomal RNA
Source: RNAcentral